RNAcentral lists this long non-coding RNA (320 nucleotides) under Elaeis guineensis (African oil palm). Its description in RNAcentral is "long non-coding RNA (EGUI_LNC023869)". The record is from RNAcentral. Lineage: Eukaryota; Viridiplantae; Streptophyta; Magnoliopsida; Arecales; Arecaceae.
AGUAGUGCUAUGUGACGAUCUUAAUGCGGUCGAAAGCCAAUGAUAGUGCAUUAAACUAUUGAAGAACAGAUGGCAUAGGACCAACAUUGUGUCUGGUGUGGAAUUUGUCUGGAAACAAUGUUUCCCCUGCUUCUUGAAUGGACAUUAAAUGUCUACAUUUGCAUGAUACCGGUUGGAGCCCAAGGUUUUCUGGAAGUAAUCUCUUCAGCCUGGUUGUAGGAAGGAGAUGGAAGUACAGACCACGGAGGAGACGGAUUGCCUUAAAAUGUGUACAAGACUGAUAACAGGCCAACGUCCAAUAUGACUUUGUUGAAUGGAAG